CUAAGUAGUAUAAGAGGUGUUUUAA
RNAcentral lists this non-coding RNA (25 nucleotides) under Rattus norvegicus (Norway rat). Lineage: Eukaryota; Metazoa; Chordata; Mammalia; Rodentia; Muridae. The record is from RNAcentral.